GAUGAACGCUGGCGGCGUGCCUAAUACAUGCAAGUCGAGCGAACAGACGAGGAGCUUGCUCCUCUGACGUUAGCGGCGGACGGGUGAGUAACACGUGGAUAACCUACCUAUAAGACUGGGAUAACUUCGGGAAACCGGAGCUAAUACCGGAUAAUAUAUUGAACCGCAUGGUUCAAUAGUGAAAGACGGUUUUGCUGUCACUUAUAGAUGGAUCCGCGCCGCAUUAGCUAGUUGGUAAGGUAACGGCUUACCAAGGCGACGAUGCGUAGCCGACCUGAGAGGGUGAUCGGCCACACUGGAACUGAGACACGGUCCAGACUCCUACGGGAGGCAGCAGUAGGGAAUCUUCCGCAAGGGGCGAAAGCCUGACGGAGCAACGCCGCGUGAGUGAUGAAGGGCUUCGGAUCGUAAAACUCUGUUAUUAGGGAAGAACAAAUGUGUAAGUAACGAUGCACGUCUUGACGGUACCUAAUCAGAAAGCCACGGCUAACUACGU
This 496-nucleotide ribosomal RNA is filed under the name uncultured bacterium. Its description in RNAcentral is "partial 16S ribosomal RNA". It matches the Rfam family "Bacterial small subunit ribosomal RNA", at positions 28 to 506 of the family's 1533-position model. The record is from RNAcentral.